GAAAAGAAUAAAUAAAAAAAAAAAAUUUUAUAAACACAUCUUGAGUGAAAGUAUGAGGACGUUUCAAAAUUAUUCUAUUCGAAGCAAUGUAUGAAAUUAUAGCGAGUGCAUAUUAAGCGUAAUCCCCCUUUGGUAGAUCUAGCACAACUUAUGGUCGCGCUUUUUCCAAUCCUCAAAGAGCUUCUAAUAUCUAACGCUUUUUGAUGCAACCUUCAGCUCUUCCAGUGAUGCGGUGUUUAUUUCUUUAAAACACUCCCCUUUUCCGUGGAUUUUGGCAGGUAUGGGAACGGGAAAAAGUCGCAGGGAAUCAAGUCCGCUGAAGCUGGUGCAAUAUCCACGAGUGGUUAUUCCACAAUUGCGAGCAUUUUUUCUUAUCGCUUCAGGUGAACGGCACUGAACUUUAGUGUAGUAUUCCUUCUUGGCCGCACGAGCUUUUAGCAGGAUCUCCCGAUCCAUCACGUCAUUGCAAUCGAAGAAACCCGAACGUGAGUAAAAUCUUUACAAUCAAUCGAGCUUGGCGUGCUUUUUUCGGUCUUGGCUCUUCUGGUCGCUUCCAUUAAGAUGAUUGGACUUUAGUUUCGACAUCCUAACCAUAUACUCAUGUUUCGUCGUUUUGAUCGUCAUUAACAUUAUUCAACAGUUUCUGAGCGAUGUUUCACGCAGAAAACAUCCUAAAAAAUUACGUGACUUGAGCUAACUGAUAUGCUAACAUCCUCAGCAACUCCUCUAUAAUGGCGAUUCAACGAUUCGUCAUAUCAAUUUUUUUCACUGCUUCAUCGUUUUCAUCGGUUGUUGCAGUGCAAGAGCGUCCAAAGCGGUCAUCGUCAUUACGGAUUUCCCGGCAUUCUGUGUAGAGCUUGUACUACUUAUAAAAUUUUUUUUUUUUGCUCAAACAAAAAUACACCAAGUAGACCGAAACACGUCUAAUCUUUAUAUUGGUCAUAAACAAACUAAAAAUUCAAAAUGGCUGAUAAUGUCAACAAAUGUUGGGCGACGCGUGUACCAACAUAACCAAAAGAAAAAGAAAUCCAAAAAUCGAACGUACAUGGCCCAUGAAAUCGCCCGGAAAGUCACCUUCUUUUUGAGCGCACAUCGUACUGAGGCAUGGAAUAAUGGUUUGAUUUCGAUGACUAGCUAAGAUAUAUUCGCAUAUUUCGGUGCGAUGAUGUGAAAUGGUACAGAAAAAUUAGAAUAUUACGUUCCAGAAUAACUUUUGAAAACGGUUUGAAACUGUGCUAAAUCACUUACUUAAAAUGGGCGGUGUAGGCAAACUAGAAAAUCAGCAUUUGGAAGGCGUUAUAGUAUUUUCUAUGGAAGUGCUUUUUAAAGGAUUAUGUUACUACAAACAGCACAAUUUUUUUUUUUCUAAAUUUAUAUAAAAAACAUUUGGCUUUGGCUGCAAAAAAAAAGCAAGCAAGCAAGAUAACAUUCCGCUGUGAGUAAAUCUUUCCUACCCCCAUCAUCUUUAUCGUAAAUAGGUUAAAAAAAGAUUAGAAAGAUUCGAUUUUUUCUCGUUUCUACUGGAUAUUGGCAGAAAUUUUUAUCGUAUGUCUAUGAUAGUUGAUGAUUAGUGAGUAAAAAGCUCAGAGAUCAGAGGCUUUCUCUGCUGAUCUUGUGUCCUUUGAUCUAAUUAGUCCGUUGUUAAGGCCCGCAUACCUUGUUUUGCAAAUUUGACGAUGAUAUGUCCAUUACGAGCUAUGCGGAACUUCUGGGAUCUUUUAUGUAGAAACUUGUGAAAAGUUGUUUCGAAAAGGUGAAUCAAGACAUUUUUGAAGGCCUUUUUUGAAGUCUGUUUUUUUUUUUAUACCGUUAAGAAAGUUAAGUAAAGAGCGAAACCAACUUAAUCACGUCGUUAAGAUGUGCAACGACGAGAUCGGGUUCAAUCCUUAAUGCGGUGGAUCACACUAUAAUUGCGACGUAUGUAUGUAAAUUUACCUUCCACUUUGUCUGCCUGAAUGGCCGAAUAGCCAAAGAAUCUUCACUGAUAGCA
Molecule: long non-coding RNA, 1990 nt
Organism: Glossina fuscipes
Lineage: Eukaryota; Metazoa; Arthropoda; Insecta; Diptera; Glossinidae
Exons: 3
Source: RefSeq, a predicted model, not a curated record